AGGUUGGAGUUGUUGCUACUGUAUGUGCAUCUACAACAUUGCAAGUGUUUGUCAUCCCUAUUGACAACUGAACCUGCACUUUCCUGAAAUUUUAUAGAAUUUCUGCUGGCCCUUAGGUAUUCCAGUUUUCCUUUUCCAUGUUUUGUCAAUACCUUUGAAUUCAAACCUUUCAUCAUGAAAGUUGGGGUCAUUUCAAAGCAUGUCCAUCUAAGUCAUUAGUAAGAAAUGGGUAUGCAGUUUGCUCCAAGAAAAUCUACCAUGUAGGCAUUGAUGUUAUAUGCAGGUUGAUAGCAGAAGAUCACUAUCAAGGUUAGGUAGGCAAACGGUAUCACUUGUCUGAUGUCUGUGUGCUCUACUGCUAUUUAAAUUCUUACAGUAAGUAAAGAUCUUGUCUAUUAUAGGUCUCUCCAUUAAUGACUUCGAUGCUCUAUCAGAUUUUAACCUCAGAUAUUCUGAUAAAGCAUAUAGGCGAGAGUAGCAUCUUAUACUUUUAUGUGUUGUUAGAUGUUCUGAUUUGAAAAUCGCAUUGAGAUGUCUAAAUUUACUUCUCCAGUUGCUUGCGGAUCUUGCUCAUAUGAGAUGUACGAGUUUAUCUCUGGCUCUUGUUAGAUGGUAGCAAGCAGCAGGCAACUUGUUUUUUUUUGCUUGCAUUACAGUAAGCAGGUUGCUUUAGAUCACCACACUACAAAUGCUCCUUAUAGCAAUGUAUAGCUCAGGAUAGAAAUAAAAUGUGUUGCGCUAUUAUUUAUGGUCAAAAUAUCGAACAUUGCUUUCUAAGAGCAAGGUUCAUACAAGGCACACCUUCCCCAUCAAUCCCAGGUGCUCUGUUGCCUUCACCAUCUCAUCAUGAUCCUGCUCUUGACCAUGGGUGCCCUUGAGGUAAAUUUUCAUCCAUUAAAUUAUACUUAAGUGAUUCAAUGUCUAUAUUAGACAUGCAUUCAGCGUGUGUUUAGCAUGCACAUGUGUUAAAUUCUUAAUUUUAGAAAACGAAAAAUGUCGCCCUCUUUAGUGAGUAUAAAAUAACAUUUUGAGCCUCGUAGGAGGGUGCAGGCAGCGGUCGGAGGUGUAUACGUGGGACUGCUCAAGUGUGGCGCUGGGGAUCAGGAGGUACUGGUGCCAAGUCAGAGCAUGUAAAAUGCACUUAGUAGCUAGAAUAUGUAAUAUUAGGAGUAGAAUCUACAUAGAUAUAUGAACCAAAAAAAUUAGUUCCAAUGUAUAGACCUCUUACAAAAUUAUUUUUGAAUUGUGAAUUCACCUACUGCAACUAGAUUUGCACAAGAUUGGUUUGAUUUGCAUCACCACUUAUCUGUGUUUGUUUCUCUUAUUGAAUUAGGUUUGAUUUGCGCCAUUAUUAUUUUGUUCCUGUAGCAAUGCAUAUCUAGCAACACAUGGAAAUAAUCCCCCCUUGUCUUAAUUUGGAAUUAGCAAUGAACAACUCCCUAUUAAACUUUGUGUUGCUUCCGUUGCAAUGCAUGGCUAAUCACUUAUUUAUCUAAAUAUGACUCAGAAUAUUAUAUUGUUAAGCUCUAUUAAAAUCUAUUUGUCUGUUUAUUUUGAUCCACUAUUUUUUCAUAUUAUGUUGAAAAUUUUAAAGUUCCCGUAGCAAUUUUAUAUGUAUAUUCACGUGUGUAUCGCAUGCUAUCCUUAUAUGUAUAUGCAUGUGGCUGUUUCCUUCUAGAACUCGCCCAUCACCCAAAAAAUCUGCGAAGAAACUUUUCUUAGUUCUAAAUUUAUGUUUUAUGUACAUCGGGGAUCUAUGUCAGGUAGGUUUUGUCUUGCUGCUCACUGGUAGUUGCUAAUAUUUUUGUUACUUUGACUUGCAGGAAAGGAUGAUAUCUUAGUUGCGUACUGGUGGGUGAAGUUUCAUGUUGUGGGUGACUUCUGUUUGUGGCUUCAUGCAAUUGUAGGUUCAGUCCCUUGUUUGCUAUAUGUGUUACUUCUCCUUUUGUAUAUCUUUUAUUUUAUUCUAGGUAUUACAGCUGUUUUGUAUGGCUAG
Molecule: long non-coding RNA, 1996 nt
Filed under: Sorghum bicolor (sorghum)
Lineage: Eukaryota; Viridiplantae; Streptophyta; Magnoliopsida; Poales; Poaceae
Description: long non-coding RNA (SBIC_LNC016578)
Source: RNAcentral